AGGGGUAAGAAAGCCCUCCCGCCCUUAAAGUUAUACCCCCACCAGGACCCGAACCAGCAAGGGCCGAACCGGUCCGGCAGUUCGGCCAUUCCUUAGAAUGGCCACCGGACCGGUUCGGACACACCCCUACCGCUGGCUCUGAGUGAGUGCCGAGCCUGCAGCUUCUGGCCUCUGGGACUUCAGCUGUUGAAGACUUUGGAAAGAGAAGGCGCCGGAGGACAGUUAAAAUGUGAGCAUUUGUACAUGUAUAAAUGGGAAGUCACGAUACAAAUGAAAAGUAUACUUAGAUGGAAAAUCAAACAAAGAUCUACAACUCUCAAGCACAUGAAGCUUUGUAAGAAAUCUUGCAAGAGGUGCCCACUGAAGAACAUGUAGAUCCAUGGAUUGCAACAACUAUUCAAGCUGGACAGAAGGGCAGUGACUGUAACUACAGUGUCUUCAGACUCUGUCAAAAGAAAACAUUGCUUAGCAACACUCUGCAGUGCCAUAAACCAUUUAUUUUUAAUUCUGAGUCUUUAACAAAUGAGCAAGGACUAAAAUUUGAAACAGAAUAGCUGGGUUUUGUACGCAAGAAAUCGUGAAAGUCUAUACAGAGCCUUGUACUACAAAUGCAAAGGAAGUGGAAACAUCUAUUUCAUCUAUCAGACACAGACUAGCUGCGUGAGUUCUCUAUCAGUGCAUUAUUGCAUAACAUAAAUAGUGGGUGUUUGACCACUUAUGACAGUAUUGCCCUUCAUAGCAGAUUUUGUCCCCUGUGUUGUUUGCUUAUUUAUUUAGCUUGCUAGAAACAAUCUACACAGUUCCUAGACUAAAGGUUUAGAUUCUUCUGGUUUAUUGUUAUAGUUCUAAUUACAAAGAUGGACGUGCCUAAACCGCAGUUUGAAGUGUGGUUCAAGCACAGUUCGGAAGCGGCCUGGGAUAGCUUUAAGAAAGAGGAGAGCAGAUCCUUUCCUGCUCUCCGCCGCCCCAUGCAAUUUCCUACUGGGCCGGAGCUCGGCCCAAGCACAUGUGGUGGUGCUGACCAUGCAAAUGGUGCCUGUGCAUGCAUGGGUGCCAUGUGUGUGCUGGUGCUGUAUGGGGGUAUUUGGACCAAGUGCCACCCCAUCAAGAAGCUGCAUGGGGUGGCAGAGAGCAGGUAAGAUCCUGUUCUCUUUCUUAAAGCUCUCCACACCACUUCCAAACUCUGCCUGAACCACGCUUUGAACUGGGGCAUAUUCCUAAUAUGUAUGAUACCUAAUUGUGUCUUGCUUAUAAACUUGUGUUUUUCAUUGCUUUAUAUAAUGUAUAUUAUAUGAUAUAAAUAUAUUAAAGAAGAACAGCAGGUA
This is a long non-coding RNA of Hemicordylus capensis (graceful crag lizard), 1325 nucleotides long. RefSeq lists it as uncharacterized. NCBI's taxonomy places the organism in Eukaryota, Metazoa, Chordata, Lepidosauria, Squamata, Cordylidae. The record is from RefSeq and is a predicted model, not a curated record. The transcript is spliced from 3 exons.